This 4967-nucleotide long non-coding RNA is filed under the name Equus caballus (horse). RNAcentral describes it as "lncRNA (ENSECAG00000059513.1)". The stretch from base 2686 to 2773 matches the Rfam family "mir-9014 microRNA precursor family". Lineage: Eukaryota; Metazoa; Chordata; Mammalia; Perissodactyla; Equidae. The record is from RNAcentral.
UAGUCAAGGGUAAAUAGCUGAAACAGUCAAAUCUUAAGAGACCUCUUUCUGAAGAUGGGAAAAUCAUUUUAACAAAACAGAUUUUCUGUCUUUUAGGUAGACUUAGAGCAGGCCGAAAAGUUCAAGAAAAUUAUCCUUUUGAGCGAGAAAGCCAAAUUCUAAUUUUUGUAUCAGUUUACUUUUUCAUAUUAAAACCCAUUUAUUUAAUUAGAUUCAUUUCAAUCUUAACCAACUUGACCAGGUACAAAACUCUUUUCAGAAUUUCUAUAACUUUGUUUUACAUUCAGAAUUUGUUCCAUGCUUUCUUUCUUACUUUCUAGUACUUUAGGACAAAUUUAUCUUUCUUAACCAAUCAAACAAAUAUUUGCAUUCUUUAUACCCUCUUUACUGAAAACAUACAUUUUAACUUUCCUUGAAUACAGAAACAUUUUCCUUAUUAAUUUCCAGUAGCUUUAAUUACGUAUGUUAAUUAGAACUUUUAAUCCUUACAGACCGUAGUAAAAAAACUAAAAACUAAGCAAUUACGAAUUGUCUUUUAUAUCAACAUUCUAAACACUUUUCCUAAUUUCUAGAAGCAUGCCACUUUACAAUAAACACAAGGCAUACUUUCUGAUAGACCCAAACGCUUUUAGCCUUUUUGCAAUAAGAAGCCAAAAGUAGAUAAACUUACAUUUAAUAAUUAAUGUCUAAUAUCUUAUUUGGAAAUAAUCUAGGUACUCAACAAAUUUUAUCAUUCACUUAAAUUAACCUAGCAAAAUUUCAAAGUUUCAAGUUACCAAAGAUUUUGGAAGUUAUUUUAAAUACACAUACCAUAAACUAUAAUUAUUGCUAAAAAAAGUUAUCUAUAAACUCUUAUUUCAUUUAUAUCUAAAUCAUUUGUUCCCAACAAUGAUGUUUAGAUUACGCACAAAAACUUUGAGACAUUAGACAAACAGCUAUCAUUUAAAGUUAUUAUGCUGACAAAUUUCUAACAGGGAUAACAUAAGCUCUUGUUUUUCUUCUUUUUAAACUAGUAAACCCAGGCUGCAUUAUUUGCAUCACAUGCAGUGCUAACUCUGGAGGACAUGUCCAAACAUUUAAAUCAAACCAACAAACUUAAACUUUCAUUAACCAAAGAUUAAUCCAUAUCAUCUUAACUUAAAAGACAUUGGGUUAAUUUCUAUUGCAUUUAGAAUUUAUGUAAGAGUUUACUUUAAUCCAAUUAAACAGAGCUCUUAGUUUUGGCCAUAUCACCCGGGGUAAAAAUAUCACACACAUAUAGACACACAGACACAGAGCCUUCACUCUUAUUGUUUUAAAAUCACUCCAUGAAUCAGGUACAAUACAAAGCUCCCUAGUUAUGAAUCAGAAUUUUGUUCUGAGCCUUUUUACUAAUAUUUCUGGAGAAGACACUCAAGGUGCUAGAUUUUUUUUUCUCAGCAAGGGCACGCUUAUGACCUUUCCUCUCUCUUUUUUUUUUUUUUUUUUUUCAGUCUUAGGAAUUAGUGAUGGGCUAGAUAGCAGUUCCUGGAGAGGGGAGAUGAUAAUCCUUUUUGAGAUAAAGGAACUAGGUGGAGUCCGAACUGCCUCUAGAGCUGUAUUUCCAGUCUUGCAAGGAUUUUCUAAGGACAGUUGCUCUUGAUUUUCCCAGAAUCUGGGUUGUAACGCAAAUUACAUUCCAGGUUGAUCUACCUGUCCAACUGCAUCACAAAGGCACAGAGAAACUCCUCAAGUUUUCUCCAAGCUGGAGUUUCUGGGGCAUAACCCAUUCCAACUAGUUAAAAUGCACCCAGGGGUGAGUCUCCGGGGAUGCUUGAGGCAUUCCCCAUGGUAGUAAAGCUGGUGUCCGACUGACAAGGCCAGAGAAAGGGUGCAAAGGCGCCUGACUGCAGGCAUCAACAUAGUUAUAAGAUCUAGUCAAAUCCCACUUAGCCCAGGGCACUUAGUCCCUGAGCCAGCACAGGUGAGCCAGGCAGGGAAGCAAGAGGCAAAGGCCUGGAGAACAAAGGAAAAGGGAUCAGGCCUCACCCUCAUGGCCUCUUCCCCAAGGGUUAUCGAGAUAGAGGUCACACAGCAGUUCCUGUGCUGGGGCACACAACGCCAUCAGGACAGUUCACAGAAUAAAUCACAGGUCUCCUAUCGUCAUAACCAACUCAGUAGGCCACCUAAAAUGCUUAACGAGUCAAUCGCCAAGAGAGGGCUCCCCACGUGGUCGCCGGGGUGAUCAGGCCCAGAAACCAGAGUGUGGGCUCCCAGACGUGGAGCCUUUGACACUUUAAAGAUUUUUUUGUUUCUCAAUUGCAAAGCUCAAAAGGAGCCCAAAAAUGGUCACUGUCACUUUAAGAGAGAGGAAAGAAAAGGGUCCAUUACCUUGAAAAUCUUCUGAACCUGGGGCAUCGUCCUACUUGUUCUGCCUGUGGGGUUCUAUAGCAAGGGACAAUGGGGGCUCCUUCUGCCUUGCAUACCUUGUAUACCUUCCCUAUUAUGCCUGGCAGUCAUAAGUGCCAGGCGAAUUGUCCCAAAGAUAAAAGAACAGAGAAAAACAGUGAGGAAUUUUUCGCCGGUCUGGGGGACAUUCUACCCAAUUGCAUCCUGGAGCAAUUCUCCCAAGAAGGGGUUCCCAUACUCAACCAAAGGUUAGAGUUUGGUACUUUCCUUGAACUGGAGUCCCAAUUGGGACUUUUCCCGCAGUUCAGAGCAUGGUCAGGUGCCAGAGGAAGGGAUCCCAAUCCAGCCUUAGGAAAAGAAACCUCUCAUGGGAGUCUUGGAGAUUGGCGGCUGUCCUAAUGACUUAAGUGGCUGACCCGUGCCCACGUAAAAUUUGUCUAUCAGAGAUAGAGUCAGGAAGGAAUGGAUUAAUUCAUUUUCCAUCACCCUCAGGCUUAAGGUACUGAUUCUCUUCAGGCUGAAUGCCACAAUUUGCCCCAUAGAGUAGCCAUGGGCAGCAAAAGUGGAUUCAUACAGCUGUCUGAGAAGGUUCCCGAUGGAGCAGUGAAUUUAGAUCCAUCCUUGAAAAAGAGAAAGGCACAAGGAAAACUAGAACUUUAGCUCACAAGCUGGUGAAGCAAGCGGGCUCAGCAAGCCAAGGAGUCAAGAGAAAGAGUUCCUGGGCUCAAGGCCUGGAAGUAGCGCUCCUUUAUUCAAAUAGCUUGGGGACAGGGCCCAAGGGCAAUGAAGAGCUGCAGCAUGGUGACAGGACCCAUGGCCAGGACUUAACAGGUCUUAGUUUAUCGCAUAAAGAAGUAUUCCCAGUCAGACAUUUUAAAACAUACUCAGGCAAAAUUGAUAUAACCUCUUUAUAAAGAAAAUCAGUUCAAGCAUUUCAACCUUUACAAUCUUAUCAACAUUAGGUCUUUAUAUUUCACCAAUUCAAUUAUAACCUGAGUCAGGGUUUAAACCUAGUCAUCAUUUUCUGUGUUUCCUUUUUAAUUUGGCCUUUUCAUAGAUACCAAUAAAAAUCAUGAUGAGAGUGCUCACAAUUUUUUUUCCCAAUUUAGAAGUUUUCCGAAUUUAAAUGAUCCAUCUCUGGCCUAAUUGACGAGUAGGAUCUUAACAGCAACUCAACCAAAGCUUAACCAAGGACAAAGAGGCAUCCCCAAAAGAGAUCCAGAAAAUUCACUCCCAAAAAUAGCCUAAGAAAGUAAAGGCCCUUAUUGCACAGCAAGCAACAAACGUUGAGAUGACAAAGGUUGAACGACAAAGGCCCCUUAUGAAAGCAGUUGGGACCUCUUAUGACAAACUCCCCUAAGAGCUGAAACAGCUGGACAAAGAGUGUGUCCCGGAACCCCAGUCUACUCGACUGCACCAAGAUGCGUGCCGGUCCAUGCAUCCUCCGAUGGCAGAGACCAGAAAGGUCACAAAGCCAAGCUCUCAAGACAUAGAACAAGACAAAAGGCCCAGACAACAGGCUUAUAGAGAUGCGUGUGUCUUAUGACAAACAAAAAGACAGAGACAAGGAAAAGUCAAUCUCUGGGAGGAAAAGGAUCUGCAACCAGUGAGUACUCAAAUACUAGAGUCGCUGACUCCAAGAAGCUAGCCUCACCAACAUUUUCUCCUGGUAAUCUAAAUUUAGAAGAGCAAAAAAAACUCACCACUCUUUCUUCCAUUGGAGCCUGCAGUCAGAGAUCCGGGAGACUGACGUGGUAAGAACUCUUACCUCUUGCCGGCUCCCGUCAGGGGUCCAGGAUCUCUCGGCCGCAGCAGUCCAGGAGCAAGCAAUGUCCAGCCAGGGAAAUUUCAUCCUGCUGACUAUGCCAAAACUGUAGGGGAGGAGGACAUUUCCUCUCCCCAAAUGUGGGUUCGUCUGGCUGGAGAACGAAUUAAAUUCACGUGAGACAGAAUAGCAAGAGAAAAUUAAACAAAGCUUUAUGAGGAACCAUGGCCCGGGGCCUUUCUUCCUGAAGGAAGAAAGGGCACUGAAGAAAUGGGGUGCACAGAGUGGUUAUAUACCCCCAAACGGGGUGUUUCACAUGUGAUUGAAAUGUCCCUCCCACAAUAGUCACAAGAUUGCCCCGUCAGCACAGUGCUUGAUGGACACAGCAAGCAGUGGUAAGUCUGGGUGAGCUAUCUCUGUGGGCGUAGCAGGAGGCAAGUCGAUUGUCUGAAGCUGGGCGGUCACAGGUGAGCUCAGCAAUCAGUUCCUAGCCUAAAGAAAGAUGCUUAAUCCUUAAAGAAAUGCCAAAGUUGGGAGGAGGAGGGAAGUCAGUUACAGGAGGUUACCAGACUAGCACAAUAAAAUGCAGAUUUAAGUCCUUGCCUUUGGUAUUGAUUAAGAGUUUUUGGAGAGAAGGUCAUCUCCUUUCUUCUUCCUGGUACAGAGAGGGAGGCGCCUUUUACAGAUAGAGAUUUACCUUACAAAUGUAAAUACGUCCUAAGGAAGGGCAAGUUCCAUUCCUCAGAGCCUCCUUCCCUGUCCCAGUUUAUCAAAAGCAAUCAGCCUCAAAUAAUCCUGAUGCCAAAGAGACGUAUCUUGGGGUGGCCAAUUUCAG